CCUACGGGAGGCAGCAGUGAGGAAUAUUGGUCAAUGGCCGAGAGUCUGAACCAGCCAAGUCGCGUGAGGGAAGACGGCCCUACGGGUUGUAAACCUCUUUUGUCGGGGAGCAAAGCGAACCACGUGUGGCUCAUUGAGCGAACCCGAAGAAAAAGCAUCGGCUAACUCCGUGCCAGCAGCCGCGGUAAUACGGAGGAUGCGAGCGUUAUCCGGAUUUUAUUGGGUUUAAAGGGUGCGCAGGCGGAGGUGCAAGUCAGCGGUCAAAUUGCGGGGCUCAACCCCGUACUGCCGUUGAAACUGCAGCCAUUGAGUGCGCGAGAAGUAGGCGGAAUGCGUGGUGUAGCGGUGAAAUGCAUAGAUAUCACGCAGAACUCCGAUUGCGAAGGCAGCAUACCGGCGCGCAACUGACGCUCAUGCACGAAAGCGUGGGUAUCGAACAGGAUUAGAUACCCUUGUAGUC
Molecule: ribosomal RNA, 460 nt
Filed under: uncultured bacterium
Lineage: Bacteria
Description: partial 16S ribosomal RNA
Rfam family: Bacterial small subunit ribosomal RNA
Source: RNAcentral